UUUUAUUUAUGUUUUUUAUGUUUAGAUAAUUAUUUACGCUAUUUCUGCUGGAGUUACUAAUGGUCUUUUGUUUCUGUUUUUAUUUUUCCUUUCCUUCACUGAGCCGAGGGUCGAUUGGAAACAGCCUCUCUAUUCUUUCGGGUAGGGGUAAGGCUCGUCUACAUAUUACCCUCCCCAGACCCCAUUUUGUGGGACUAUACUGGGUAGUUGUUGUUGUUGUAAUAGUUGAAACUAACUGUUGGAUAUGAAUGUGCAAAGUUGGUAUAUAUCUGAAGGUUAAAUACUUAUAUACAUGUCAUUUGUUGGUUAAGUCUCGAAUGAUGUAGAUCUGUUUGUUUGGAGUUAAAUAACCAAUUUUCUUAAAGACAUGUAAAGGGCGAACAAGAUGGUUAGCUGCAUUCUCGAAGUUAGCUGCAAUUUGCGGCUUUAAGUUGCUAAAUAAGUUCUAUCUUAAAGGUUAAAUACUGGUUUGCUACAGUGUUUCAUUCCCUCCAAAUAUGUGGGAAGCAUAUAGUUGAGAUUUAAAAUAUCAAUUUGACAAAGCAUAUAGUAUUCCACUGACUAUUGGAAUCUAUGGAAGCAUUUGAUUGAAACUAAAUAUGGUAUAAUGGUGCAGACGAAUUUCGAUUUGCAAGCAAAUGAGUAAUGUGGUUGGAAUUUGAUGAGAUUAUAGUUGGAAAUGGCAGAAGAAUAAGGUUGUCGCAGGAUGAACGACUGGAAGCGAGAUUCAAAUUCUUAAACCUAUACAUCUUGUCUAUGAUAAAGAUUUUACUAGUACAAAUGAUUGAAAAAGAAAUUGGAAUUGAAUAUUUUAUUAGAAGGAUUUCACUUAUUCAAUAGAUGUUACUACUGCAUAAAAUAUACUGAAUUUGUAAACACAUUAUAUGAUGGACAUCAUGCAUGUUUGUAAACUUACUUUGGGGGAUUAUCGGCAAAGUUUGACAAUCUAUAAGUUGCAGUAAAGGCUUAUCUUUGUUGUCUAUAAACAUAUUUGUUGUAUGUCCUAUUUGUUCUGUACAUAAAUGGUAAUGUAUGUGCUUAGUAGAAGCAGCUGAUAUGGUUCUCUUAUGAUUAAAAAUACCAAGUUCGUGAUGUUGUCUGUUCAUAGUAGUUGUUCUCUUGAAUGAUAAACCUCGAAUUGUCAUAUCAGGAUUUAUCGAAAUAAAGUUUGAUUUACCAUCCCAAAGAUUUUCUAGUUAUUUUUUCUUAUAUUUUCCUAUAUUGCUAGUUUAAAAUUUAUGUAUAUGUUAUUUUACCAAUAGUAUUUAUCAUCUUUUCAAACUUUUGUACUUACAGGUUUUGAAGAUUGAAGCUACAAGUCAAUAUGCAAGUUUCGAAGAUGCACAAGCUCAUUAUUAUUUUGCUAAAACAUAGUCUAGCUCCGAAUGUUUGCUAAGUUUUUUUAAUUAAGAUGUUGAGCAAAUAUAGAAAGUAACAUUAUCAUGGGAUGUGAACUUGAUAUAUUAUCUUUUUGUAUCUAUAUUGAUGAAAAUAACUUUUUGUAGUAUUAAGCUUUAGGACUACUCAGGGUUAAUAAGAGACCAUGAAUAUGAUUGCUUACUUAUAAAACUAUUUUAAAUAGGAACCUCGUCUCUAAAAUAUAAUCUAGGACCAUCUAAAGAAUGAUCGCUAAAAUGGUUUAACGAUUGAAAUGACGAGAUAUGUAGUCUAAAAGUAAUUUGCGACCAUAUUUUC
This 1695-nucleotide long non-coding RNA is filed under the name Nicotiana benthamiana. RNAcentral's name for it is "long non-coding RNA (NBEN_LNC003981)". The record is from RNAcentral. Lineage: Eukaryota; Viridiplantae; Streptophyta; Magnoliopsida; Solanales; Solanaceae.